Molecule: long non-coding RNA, 815 nt
Filed under: Mytilus galloprovincialis (Mediterranean mussel)
Lineage: Eukaryota; Metazoa; Mollusca; Bivalvia; Mytilida; Mytilidae
Source: RNAcentral
GGCAACACUCCUUUUGCGCCAAUUACUGUUUUUCGGGGGUAUCAUUUGCGCCAAAUUUUUUUUUCCAAAUGUAUCAAUUGCGCCAGUUUUCGGAACUCAUUUGCGCCAAUUUACCUGAACACAUAUUGAUCGUACAUAUUAAAGAUUAAUAUAUAUUUAGUAUCAUUUUUGUCUGAGUGGAAAUCUUGCACAUAUACAUGAGACAGAUCCACAAAAGUUAGAGCGUCAAAUACUACGAACAGCAUGCAUAUGUUCUGAGCUAUUCCACCACGAAGAGAAACAUCUACAGAAAAAUGACUUGAAGUGCAUAAGACAGUCUAUGUACAGAGAGAGAAGAUAACUAGCUGUACCCUGCCCAACCAAAAAGUUCAGUAGAAUUUCAAGAAAUUUUAAGUGAGGAAGAGUGAUCACAAAUAAAGAAGAAGAGUUUGUUUUAGUAAAUUAUAUUGAAAGUGGCAUUGUUAUUCUCGGUGGUAAAGCUAACUUGAAAUUUCUUUGUAUGCGGGGCAGAUGAUGUUUUUGCUGAUGGAACAUUUAAGGGUUGUCCGAAGUAUUUCCAGCAAUUGUAUACAAUACAUGGAUUCAGGAAUGGACAUUUAAUUUAUAUUCCACUUUUGGAUUGCCUUUUGCCUUCUAAAUCAGGAAACUGUUUCUUUGUUUAAGGAAUGUUUUUCUUUAAAUUGGCGCAAUCGUAUAUUCUAUUUUUGGCGCAAAUGAUACCAUGUAAUUUAUAAACAGGUGGCGCAAACGUAGCAUUAGAGAAAAAAAGUUGUAGCGCAAAAGGACGCAUUUUUGGCGCAAACGGAUGUCUCCCG